Molecule: ribosomal RNA, 253 nt
Filed under: uncultured bacterium
Lineage: Bacteria
Description: partial 16S ribosomal RNA
Rfam family: Bacterial small subunit ribosomal RNA
Source: RNAcentral
UACGGAGGGUGCAAGCGUUGUUCGGAUUUAUUGGGCGUAAAGGGUGUGUAGGCGGUUCGUUAAGUCUGAUGUGAAAGCCCCGGGCUCAACCCGGGAAGUGCAUUGGAAACUGGCGAACUUGAGUACGGGAGAGGGCAGUGGAAUUCCUAGUGUAGGAGUGAAAUCCGUAGAUAUUAGGAGGAACACCGGUGGCGAAGGCGGCUGCCUGGACCGAUACUGACGCUGAGACGCGAAAGCGUGGGGAGCAAACAGG